CUUCCUGAGUGGGAACAGCUAGCUUAGACCCCGUCGGUGUCUAAUUAUGGUUAGGCUUGAUUGCCCCUGCAUCCCUGUAUCUGUCAGCACUGCGUUUUGCCUGCAGUUUGAAUGCCCACGUACUGGGUACCGGGAGAUCCUUCUCCAGCUCUUUCCAGUCAGUUUGGGUAUUCAGAAUAAUUUGUAUCAUCCAUCAACUUUGACACUUCAUUGUUUACCUCUUUCCCCAGCUCCCUGAUGAACGGGUUGUACCAUUCCGGUCUCAGCACAAAUCCAUGCUUUAUUCUAGCACUACACACUGGAGGCUUGUAAAGCAAAAGCUGCUGUUACUUCAUGGUGAAAGAAUCCCAACCUCCCUCCAGUCCAGCAGCAUCAGUUCCUAGUGGUACUGACAGGACAGCCUGGUCUCUCCCGCUGUGUGUUGCGAGCCCCUUUUUGUCUGCAGGUUAUUGCAAAGGCAACAAAUAGAAGGGAUGAAUGGGUUCCCUGCAGAGGAUGUAUGUUCUCUGUGGGACAAAGGCAGAACUGCUGAAUAGCUCUUGUAGAGCCCUUUCCUGGCAGCUCGUGGCUGUCCUUGGCAUCAGCGGUCAGAGCUCCAGCCUUCGGAGCACAGAAACCUGGGUUCCCAUCCGAGAGGCUCCCCUAAGCAGUCCUCUAACAGGCCUGCUGAGACCAGCCUUUUCUCUCAUAUUUGCCGAGGCACCAAGGAGGC
This is a long non-coding RNA of Athene cunicularia (burrowing owl), 712 nucleotides long. RefSeq lists it as uncharacterized. NCBI's taxonomy places the organism in Eukaryota, Metazoa, Chordata, Aves, Strigiformes, Strigidae. The transcript is spliced from 3 exons. The record is from RefSeq and is a predicted model, not a curated record.